CCCAGGCACAGCAGCGCCACGCGCACGUAGCGCCGCAUCCUGCCCCGGCGGCCGGGGCCCAGCCGGCAGCGCGAGCCCGGCCCCAACGGACACAGCGGCAGCGCGAGCCCCGUGUUGGGGUCACCGCAGCGCUGAGUUUGUCAGAUAAGUGUUACAAAAGGUGGCUCGCUCAGACAGACUUGUAUUUGACAGAAGGCAAAAAAGAGGAAGAGAGGACAGAAGAAAAGCCCUUGUAAGCUGAGCACCUGUCAUCUCUGCCUGACAGCAUGGAUGGAUCCUGAACUGCUGACCAGUCUAGUGAUGAGCAUUAUGAACACAAUACAGGUCCACUUAGGAGUCUCCCACAACUAGAAAAUGGAUCUGGCCAGAUUUGGAUGAAAGGACCACCCUGAGGAACAUAGCCACUCUGUUGUCCACUAGCACCAGAAAACUCUUCCUCUCAAUAUAUGGAAGAAAGGCCAAGCAAGAUAACCAAAUAGCUCGCAAUUCUCUGACAUUUAUGAGUAUUUUCAGAUCUUGCAUAGACCAAAGACUUUGUGUCUGCUGAAACCCCAGGUGUCAGGACCUAUUUCUCCAUGUUGAUUAAUUGCCCUAGCACAUUGAAAGUGGACUGGAUAAGGUGCUGGACAGCACCUGAGAUCUGGACCGGCAUCUCACCAACUAGUCAGCUAGGAGAACUUCCUCUAUGGCCCCCAUGUGAAGGAGAGAUUGCACCUCCUGCAGUAGAAUGACCUCAUGAGAGUAGUUCCUGAAGAGGGAUGGGAAAAUAGGCUCAUUGCACACUGAGGGAAUGAAGUCUCCUCUCUUCUUCAGAGAUAGAAGAGUAAAUGAAGAUGAAGUUCUGGACACUGGAGGCUCCAACAAAGGCCACACAGUGAUGAAAAGGAACUGGAAACGCAAUUGGUCUGCUCCACCCUUUAUCUCCUUGGUUGGAUGCAUAAUUGGAUGCAUGAGAAGAGCAAUGGUGCUUGCAUGGACCAAUGGACAUUGCUUUCAAGAAUUCUCUGACUCCGGAAAUAUGAAGCACAGUGAAAGACACACAGGGAGUAGCGCUUGAAGGCAAACCUAUAAUUUCACAUCUUCCUACAGAUUUUAUAACAUAUGCCCUCCUGCUGAAACUGCUCUAAAUUGUAUUCUGUAAUUAGUGCAAAGCAGCCUUCUAUUCUGACCCUGUUUUUCUUUUCCUUUCAAUACCUUUGAGAUUUUAUAAUAAAUAUUGUAUGCUCAUGAAAAACAUUCACAUGCAUAUUUUGUUUAUGGAGAUAUGUUUAUUGUUGCCUUCAAUGUUUGUUGGAAAUAUGGAUAUUACUACAAAAAGUGUCUCUGAGAAACCCCAUUAAAAAUUAGCCUUAAGCAUGAAGGAAAAAUAUACAUUCAGCGGUGCCAAUCCUGAGUGAAGAUUUUUUCCACACAUAGGAAGCAAAACCAAUAAAAUUGGAGGACCUCUUAUUGCUUUUCAUACAUUUCUUCCUGCCUGGCAACUGGUGAAAUUUAGGUGAGAAGAAUAUAAUUACCUAAUUAAAAUGCAAGCAUGACUUCAAGGUUCACAGUCCUAUUCUUUCAAAUAAAUAUCUCAGGUUCAUUAGUGACUAGAAGUUUCAGGGCCUCAGUUUUAGUGUUCAUCAAUAGAAAGGACCCUUUGCCAUCCUGGUGGAGCAUCAUUGAAUCAGAGCAGGGUAUUGACCAUUGAAUAAUCAAUGUUAGUUCCAUUCCUGAAAAACAUAAGC
This is a long non-coding RNA of Mauremys reevesii (Reeves's turtle), 1727 nucleotides long. RefSeq lists it as uncharacterized. The record is from RefSeq and is a predicted model, not a curated record. Lineage: Eukaryota; Metazoa; Chordata; Testudines; Geoemydidae. The transcript has 9 exons.